This is a long non-coding RNA of Dromaius novaehollandiae (emu), 726 nucleotides long. RefSeq lists it as uncharacterized. The record is from RefSeq and is a predicted model, not a curated record. Lineage: Eukaryota; Metazoa; Chordata; Aves; Casuariiformes; Dromaiidae. The transcript is spliced from 4 exons.
UUUUUCUUGGUUGAAUCUGCAUCCUCAAGGCUGCUUUGAAAGUCUCAUCUUCCCUCAUCCUCCUUGCUGCAUUACUGAGCAUCUGACUACGAGUCCCUCUGUGUCACCGCCAUCUGUUAGACCUUCAUUUCACCUUGCCAGUCCUCUUCUUGGUGGCUUUUUUUCAGGUUAGCAAGGCAGGAAUAAUAUCCAUAAUAUCACACACAAGAUAGGUCAAGUGAGUAGUCUAAUAAGGAAAAUACUGGAUGUUCAGCCUUUCCGAAACGUCUCAUCCCCUGAGGCAUUCGUGGAGAUGCUUGGGAGAUUAGAAGCACAGCAAGAACCAUCGCGACCAGGGAGCCCGAUCCCCUGUGCAGGCCACGAUAACUUGCUCCUCGCUGAGCAGAAGCGUCUUCGGAGCCACGCUCCUCUGGGCUGGAUUCCUCCCUGCAUCCGGGAGUGACAUAUGGCUCGGCAUUCAGGGCACAACCAAGGAGCCCUCCUAUAGCAAGCGCAACAUCUGCAGGCUCCUAUGGCCUGUAAUCGAAACCACCCUGGCAGCGCCGCCGACGUUACAUCACGGAAAAUGGCAAGUUUAGAUCCUGGGGCAAGAGACUUCGCUGUGCCAGGAGCUGCUUGCACCAUUCGGGCCUUUAAUUGUUGUGCUUGCAGCCAGCGGUACUCUGCCACCGGUGAUAGCCACCGCGGUAUUUGGAGACCGAUGUUUGGAUGCAACAUUUUGCAUCU